This 251-nucleotide ribosomal RNA is filed under the name uncultured bacterium. Its description in RNAcentral is "partial 16S ribosomal RNA". It matches the Rfam family "Bacterial small subunit ribosomal RNA", at positions 524 to 776 of the family's 1533-position model. The record is from RNAcentral.
UACGUAGGGUGCAAGCGUUAUCCGGAAUUAUUGGGCGUAAAGGGCUCGUAGGCGGUUUGUCGCGUCGGGAGUGAAAACUCAGGGCUCAACCCUGAGCGUGCUUCCGAUACGGGCAGACUAGAGGUAUGCAGGGGAGAACGGAAUUCCUGGUGUAGCGGUGGAAUGCGCAGAUAUCAAGAGGAACACCGGUGGCGAAGGCGGUUCUCUGGCAUUACCUGACGCUGAGGAGCGAAAGCAUGGGAGCGAACAGG